This 253-nucleotide ribosomal RNA is filed under the name uncultured bacterium. Its description in RNAcentral is "partial 16S ribosomal RNA". It matches the Rfam family "Bacterial small subunit ribosomal RNA", at positions 524 to 776 of the family's 1533-position model. The record is from RNAcentral.
UACGUAGGGUGCAAGCGUUGUCCGGAAUUAUUGGGCGUAAAGAGCUCGUAGGCGGCCUGUCGCGUCGGCUGUGAAAACCCGGGGCUCAACCCCGGGCCUGCAGUCGAUACGGGCAGGCUAGAGUCCGGUAGGGGAGACUGGAAUUCCUGGUGUAGCGGUGAAAUGCGCAGAUAUCAGGAGGAACACCGGUGGCGAAGGCGGCAUCCUGGACCGGUAUUGACGCUGAGGCGCGAAAGCUAGGGGAGCAAACGGG